GUCUAUGGCCGUACUACCCGAUCUCGUCUGAUCUCAGAAGCUAAGCAGGGUCAGGUCUGGUUAGUACUUGGAUGAGAGACCGCCUGGGAACACUGGGUGCUGUAGGCU
Molecule: ribosomal RNA, 108 nt
Filed under: Notechis scutatus (mainland tiger snake)
Lineage: Eukaryota; Metazoa; Chordata; Lepidosauria; Squamata; Elapidae
Source: RNAcentral